UACGGAGGGUGCAAGCGUUGCUCGGAAUUAUUGGGCGUAAAGGGUAGGUAGGUGGUCUCAUUUGUCUGGGGUGAAAGCCUUGAGCUUAACUCAAGAGGUGCCCCAGAAACGGUGAGACUAGAGUCCUGGAGAGGGUCGCGGAAUUCCCGGUGUAGCGGUGAAAUGCGUAGAGAUCGGGAGGAACACCAGAGGCGAAGGCGGCGACCUGGACAGGCACUGACACUCAACUACGAAAGCGUGGGGAGCAAACAGG
This 253-nucleotide ribosomal RNA is filed under the name uncultured bacterium. RNAcentral describes it as "partial 16S ribosomal RNA". It matches the Rfam family "Bacterial small subunit ribosomal RNA", at positions 524 to 776 of the family's 1533-position model. The record is from RNAcentral.